AGCGAACGCUGGCGGCAGGCUUAACACAUGCAAGUCGAGCGGGCAUCUUCGGGUGUCAGCGGCGGACGGGUGAGUAACGCGGGGGAACGUGCCUUCUGGUUCGGAAUAACUCAGGGAAACUUGCGCUAAUACCGGAUACGCCCUUUUGGGGAAAGGUUUACUGCCGGAAGAUCGGCCCGCGUCUGAUUAGCCAGUUGGUGGGGUAACGGCCUAACAAGGCGACGAUCAGUAGCUGGUCUGAGAGGAUGAUCAGCCACACUGGGACUGAGACACGGCCCAGACUCCUACGGGAGGCAGCAGUGGGGAAUAUUGGACAAUGGGGGCAACCCUGAUCCAGCCAUGCCGCGUGAGUGAUGAAGGCCUUAGGGUUGUAAAGCUCUUUUAUCCGGGACGAUAAUGACGGUACCGGAGGAAUAAGCCCCGGCUAACUUCGUGCCAGCCGCCGCCGUAA
This 451-nucleotide ribosomal RNA is filed under the name uncultured bacterium. Its description in RNAcentral is "partial 16S ribosomal RNA". It matches the Rfam family "Bacterial small subunit ribosomal RNA", at positions 29 to 523 of the family's 1533-position model. The record is from RNAcentral.